Molecule: unclassified non-coding RNA, 221 nt
Filed under: Hevea brasiliensis (rubber tree)
Lineage: Eukaryota; Viridiplantae; Streptophyta; Magnoliopsida; Malpighiales; Euphorbiaceae
Source: RNAcentral
GCAAAAGAAUUGAGUUAAAAAAAAAAAAACCAAAAAGAGUAGAUCUCCCCCCACAAUCCCUCUAUUUUUGGGUUAAGGGCUUGUAGUCAUCAUUAGUGUAAUUAAUUAUUUUUCAGAAAAUAUAUAGUAACUACUGAUCAACCUACUUUUUUUUUAAAUAAUACUCGUCCCUUCUUAUAUAUUUACUGAAUAAUAUACAAGCAUGUAAUAAAAAAAAAAAA